This 427-nucleotide ribosomal RNA is filed under the name uncultured bacterium. RNAcentral's name for it is "partial 16S ribosomal RNA". It matches the Rfam family "Bacterial small subunit ribosomal RNA", at positions 354 to 796 of the family's 1533-position model. The record is from RNAcentral.
GUGGGGAAUAUUGGGCAAUGGGGGAAACCCUGACCCAGCGACGCCGCGUGAGGGAAGACGGCCUUCGGGUUGUAAACCUCUUUUGUACGGGAAGAAGGAAGUGACGGUACUGUACGAAUAAGUCCCGGCUAACUACGUGCCAGCAGCCGCGGUAAUACGUAGGGGACGAGCGUUGUCCGGAAUUACUGGGCGUAAAGGGCGCGCAGGCUGUGCUGCAAGUCAGCUGUGAAAUGUCUGGGCUUAACCCGGGCAUGCGGUUGAGACUGCAGUGCUGGAGUGCUGUAGAGGCAAGUGGAAUUCCCAGUGUAGCGGUGAAAUGCGUAGAUAUUGGGAAGAACACCGGUGGCGAAGGUGACUUGCUGGGCAGCAACUGACGCUGAGGCGCGAAAGCCAGGGGAGCAAACGGGAUUAGAAACCCGGGUAGUCC